This 265-nucleotide ribosomal RNA is filed under the name uncultured bacterium. RNAcentral's name for it is "partial 16S ribosomal RNA". It matches the Rfam family "Bacterial small subunit ribosomal RNA", at positions 92 to 354 of the family's 1533-position model. The record is from RNAcentral.
CGACCGGCGCACGGGUGAGUAACACGUAUGGAACCUGCCCUAUGCAGGGGGAUAAGCGGAAGAAAUUCCGUCUAAUACCGCAUAACACCAUUUGGAGACAUCUCCAGGGGGUCAAAGGAGGCGACUCCGGCAUAGGAUGGCCAUGCGUCGCAUUAGCUAGUCGGCGGGUAACGGCCCACCGAGGCGACGAUGCGUAGGGGUUCUGAGAGGAAGGUCCCCCACACUGGUACUGAGACACGGACCAGACUCCUACGGAAGGCAGCAG